CGGACGGGUGAGGAAUACAUCGGAAUCUACCUUUUCGUGGGGGAUAACGUAGGGAAACUUACGCUAAUACCGCAUACGACCUACGGGUGAAAGUGGGGGACCGCAAGGCCUCACGCGAUUAGAUGAGCCGAUGUCCGAUUAGCUAGUUGGCGGGGUAAUGGCCCACCAAGGCGACGAUCGGUAGCUGGUCUGAGAGGAUGAUCAGCCACACUGGAACUGAGACACGGUCCAGACUCCUACGGGAGGCAGCAGUGGGGAAUAUGGACAAUGGGCGCAAGCCUGAUCCAGCCAUACCGCGUGGGUGAAGAAGGCCUUCGGGUUGUAAAGCCCUUUUGUUGGAAGAAUCCUAUCGGUUAAUAACCGGUGGGAUGACGGUACCCAAAGAAUAAGCACCGGUAACUUCGUGCCAGCAGCCGCGGUAAUACGAAGGGUGCAAGCGUUACUCGGAAUUACUGGGCGUAAAGCGUGCGUAGGUGGUGUUAAGUCUGCUGUGAAGCCUGGGCUCAACCUGGGAAUUGCAGUGGAUACUGGAUCACUAGAGUGUGGUAGAGGAUGCGGAAUUUCUGGUGUAGCAGUGAAUGCGUAGAGAUCAGAAGACAUCCGUGGCGAAGGCGGCAUCCUGGCCAACACUGACACUGAGGCACGAAAGCGUGGGGAGCAAACAGGAUUAG
This 671-nucleotide ribosomal RNA is filed under the name bacterium MS-AsIII-40. RNAcentral describes it as "bacterial SSU rRNA". It matches the Rfam family "Bacterial small subunit ribosomal RNA", at positions 99 to 781 of the family's 1533-position model. The record is from RNAcentral.